UCGAGAGGCUUUGGCAAUGGGGGAAACCCUGACCAAGCGACGCCGCGUGGAGGAUGAAGGCCCUUGGGUUGUAAACUCCUUUUGUCGGGGAAGAAAUGCGAUCAGGUGAACAAUCUGGUCGUUUGACGGUACCCGGCGAAUAAGCUCCGGCUAACUCCGUGCCAGCAGCCGCGGUAACACGGGGGGAGCAAGCGUUGUUCGGAAUCACUGGGCGUAAAGGGCGUGUAGGCGGUUGUGUAAGUGAGAUGUGAAAUGCCCCGGCUUACCCGGGGACCUGCAUCUCAUACUGCAUGACUUGAGUACGGGAGAGGAUGAGGGAAUUCCUGGUGUAGCGGUGAAAUGCGUAGAUAUCAGGAGGAACACCGGUGGCGAAGGCGCUCAUCUGGCCCGAUACUGACGCUGAGGCGCGAAAGCUAGGGUAGCGAACGG
Molecule: ribosomal RNA, 429 nt
Filed under: uncultured bacterium
Lineage: Bacteria
Description: bacterial SSU rRNA
Rfam family: Bacterial small subunit ribosomal RNA
Source: RNAcentral